Molecule: non-coding RNA, 200 nt
Filed under: unclassified sequences
Description: RT-2 RNA
Rfam family: RT-2 RNA
About the family: Coriobacteriales (Actinobacteria), Clostridiales (Firmicutes). Downstream gene
Source: Rfam by way of RNAcentral
GCCGCCCCCUAAUGGCGGUGAACUGCAACCCUGAUGCGUCCGGGCGGACGCUUCUUGCAUGGCGGCAAUGUUGUGCGUUCCUGCCGUUCCAUGCCCGGUGACGCUAUGUAGCAUAACAGCGCACACCCCCGGGCUUUGAUGUCUUUGUGCCGAUAAGCCCGGGGAUGCUAUACAGGGUUCUUUAAGGAAACGGAGAUGAA